RNAcentral lists this ribosomal RNA (1361 nucleotides) under uncultured bacterium. RNAcentral's name for it is "bacterial SSU rRNA". It matches the Rfam family "Bacterial small subunit ribosomal RNA", at positions 29 to 1395 of the family's 1533-position model. The record is from RNAcentral.
AUGGCCGCGGGAUUCAGGCCUAACACAUGCAAGUCGAGGGGUAGAAAGAGCUUGCUUUUUUGAGACCGGCGCACGGGUGAGUAACGCGUAUGCAACCUACCUUAUACAGGGGAAUAGCCCGAAGAAAUUCGGAUUAAUGCUCCAUGGUUUAUCGAUAUGGCAUCGUAUUGAUAAUAAAGAUUUAUCGGUAUAAGAUGGGCAUGCGUAUCAUUAGCUAGUUGGUGUGGUAACGGCAUACCAAGGCAACGAUGAUUAGGGGUCCUGAGAGGGAGAUCCCCCACACUGGUACUGAGACACGGACCAGACUCCUACGGGAGGCAGCAGUGAGGAAUAUUGGUCAAUGGAGGCAACUCUGGACCAGCCAUGCCGCGUGCAGGAUGACGGUCCUAUGGAUUGUAAACUGCUUUUGUACAGGAAGAAACCUCCCUACGAGUAGGGACUUGACGGUACUGUAAGAAUAAGGAUCGGCUAACUCCGUGCCAGCAGCCGCGGUAAUACGGAGGAUCCGAGCGUUAUCCGGAAUUAUUGGGUUUAAAGGGUUCGUAGGCGGCUUUGUAAGUCAGUGGUGAAAUUUCCUAGCUUAACUAGGACACUGCCAUUGAUACUGCAGAGCUUGAAUAGUAUGGAAGUAACUAGAAUAUGUAGUGUAGCGGUGAAAUGCUUAGAUAUUACAUGGAAUACCAAUUGCGAAGGCAGGUUACUACGUAUUUAUUGACGCUGAUGAACGAAAGCGUGGGGAGCGAACAGGAUUAGAUACCCUGGUAGUCCACGCCGUAAACGAUGGAUACUAGCUGUUCGGUUUUCGGACUGAGUGGCUAAGCGAAAGUGAUAAGUAUCCCACCUGGGGAGUACGUUCGCAAGAAUGAAACUCAAAGGAAUUGACGGGGGCCCGCACAAGCGGUGGAGCAUGUGGUUUAAUUCGAUGAUACGCGAGGAACCUUACCAGGGCUUAAAUGUAGAUUGACAGAUUUGGAAACAGAUUUUUCUUCGGACAAUUUACAAGGUGCUGCAUGGUUGUCGUCAGCUCGUGCCGUGAGGUGUCAGGUUAAGUCCUAUAACGAGCGCAACCCCUAUUGUUAGUUACCAUCGCGUAGUGGCGGGGACUCUAGCAAGACUGCCGGUGCAAACCGUGAGGAAGGUGGGGAUGACGUCAAAUCAUCACGGCCCUUACGUCCUGGGCUACACACGUGCUACAAUGGCAAGUACAGAAAGCAGCUACCUGGCAACAGGAUGCGAAUCUCCAAAGCUUGUCUCAGUUCGGAUUGGAGUCUGCAACUCGACUCUAUGAAGCUGGAAUCGCUAGUAAUCGGAUAUCAGCCAUGAUCCGGUGAAUACGUUCCCGGGCCUUGUACACACCGCCC